AUUGAACGCUAGCGGGAUGCUUUACACAUGCAAGUCGAACGAGUGGCGGACGGGUGAGUAAUAUAUCGGAACGUGCCCAGUAGCGGGGGAUAACUACUCGAAAGAGUGGCUAAUACCGCAUACUAUUGGAGCGGCCGAUAUCGGAUUAGCUAGUUGGUGGGGUAAAGGCUCACCAAGGCCACGAUGCAUAGCCGACCUGAGAGGGUGAUCGGCGACACGGGGACUGAGACACGGCCCAGACCCCUACGGGAGGCGGCAGUGGGGAAUUUUGGACAAAGGGGGAAACCCUGAUCCAGCCAUCCCGCGUGUAUGAGAAGGCCUUCGGGUUGUAAAGUACUUUUGGCAGAGAAGCGGUAUCUGCAGAAUAAGCACCGGCUAACUACGUGCCAGCAGCCGCGGUAAUAC
RNAcentral lists this ribosomal RNA (405 nucleotides) under uncultured bacterium. Its description in RNAcentral is "partial 16S ribosomal RNA". It matches the Rfam family "Bacterial small subunit ribosomal RNA", at positions 30 to 526 of the family's 1533-position model. The record is from RNAcentral.